Molecule: unclassified non-coding RNA, 867 nt
Filed under: Zea mays
Lineage: Eukaryota; Viridiplantae; Streptophyta; Magnoliopsida; Poales; Poaceae
Description: misc RNA Zm00001eb072500
Source: RNAcentral
ACUGCCUCCGGUGCCAUGGAACUGUUCGAAGAUAUUCUGGAGAAAAGGUUUCGGUUCGCCGUGCCCGUGCGUACGUUUGGGGUUGUUUACUUGUUUCUCUCUCGCUUCUUCCUGGCGGCGGAAGACAGAGAAGGGCGAGCGGCCGCGCGGAACAUCGACGACCGAGAGGCCCCCUCGUCAGCAACCCCAUCUGCUAUUCUCCCUGACGGCAUUCUGGCAGCAAGGACAUUCCAAGUUGUGGGAACUUCAAAAUAUGGAGGAACUAGAAAUAUGUUUUGGCAGCAUCACAAGUAUUGGUUUUGAUCAUUGGUCUCCUCAUAUGGCCACUGCUUCCACCAUUGCUGAACAAGGAGGUACACCACACGAGGCAAUCAAUUGUGACACACAAGAAGAUGGUGACACCAAUGAAUGUGAAGUUUCACCGGUCAAUCCAAAUGGCAAGUGACCGCCAAGGUUCAAUCAAAACAAAGGCAAGAAGCAGAAAACAGAAAAUAGGGACAACACUAAUCAUCGUUCAAUAAACAGUUACAUCUAUGUCUGUUUCAACUAAUUCUUAUGCUGCAAAAAAGGGAAAAAUUUCCAUUGAUGAAGUGAUGAAACAUGUGCUUGCUUGUGGUGCCACCUAUGGUAGUAACGAGCACUUCAUUGCAACUGAAUUAUUUGUCAAACUGACCCAAAAAGAGAUGUUCAUGACCUUUCUUACCGAACAUAGAUUCAACUGGCUUUCAGGGAAAUACAUAACCAAGUAUGGUAAUUAUAAAGGGCCAUGGGUGUGAUAUGAGUUGUAAAUGUUUGUUUUUUUAUCUCGUUAUGUGAGACUUAUUUGUUUCUUGUUACUUUCAUUUCUUUAUGUGAGACUCAAUGGAU